UUGGAAUCAGCUCUAUUCUUUACGAAUCAUUCGCUUCAAUACGACUGGACCAUGUUGAAAACACAUGUAACAUGUGCCUGAUUUCUGAAUAUAGUCGCAUGAAAAAAUCCACUCCAUCGGCGUAUAACACAUUAGUACUUCGCAUGAGAAAAAAUCAAAUCAACACGUAUCUGCUUGUUGAAAAUGCAUGUUUACGCAAAAUCUAAGAACCAGACAGGAAAAAGCCUACAUCAUCAACAAAAGGCUCAGUCUAUGCAUCUGUACUCACCAUUUGAAGCGUUAGAUGCCAACAAAGGAUUACUCAGCAUUCUACUUACUCAUCUUAGCGUGAAGGCGAUUCCGGUAAACCAGUCACAAAGUAAACAGAGUCCAACCAAUUUCAUUCUCAUUUUUUUGUUCUAACAAUAGUAUCGAAAAUAAAAAAGCCAAUUGCUGGAAUAGUUGGUAGUUUUAAUGUAUUUGCAAUAUUUGCAAUUAUUACAAAAGAAAUUAAAACUGUUCUUGCUUUUCCUUUUUUUAAUUCAUCUCACUAUUCCCGGUCAUAUUGAUUGAAAUAGAAGUUGAGUAUUUCUGGCAUUGCUUUUUGUAGAGUUAGGCCAAAGACUUAAUUCAAGAAUAGUGGCACAUACAAAAGAGUUAACCAUUGAAAAUCCGGUCCAUAUUAUGGUUUACGAGAUAACGAGACAUAGUAAUGAGCAGAUUGGAGAUUGAUGGCAGUCUCCAAUAAAAACGAUUUUGAUUUCGAGAGUCCUCGUUGCAAGAGUACGAUUAAAACUGCAAGGAGCCAAAAUGAUAUAGGCCUUAGAGCCUCAAAACCAGUUAUAAAACCAUUCUUAUCGAAGCUUGUGCGAAAAAAGCUGAAUUGCAAAUUCGAUCGAUGUAAUUGGAUAGUGGCUGAUAGGAGAUGAAUUAUUUUCCCUAAUGAGAUCAAAUCUAAUUUAAUUUAUUUGAUAGACUAACCUAAGUUCGAAGAGGAGGUGAGAAAUUCAACUGCAAAUGUACUCUACCAAUUCUACGUCAUUUCUCCUCAGCAAUGAUGUGGGGAAGGAUAAUUUUCAAAGGGACUGAUCACGUCUCGUUCUUUAUGUGUACUACCAUAUAGGAAAAUUAUCGGGGAAUGUGUUAUUAGAAGCAGCGUCCGUUAUAGCUGCAUGCGUUUCAAAAUAUUUUUACAGCCCUGAACCAAUGAAUAUGACGAGAUUAUACUGUGGUGUAAAACUGUGGCAACGUUCUAGUAGAACGAUUUUUAUAGAUAGAGGGCAUCAUUACUAGUUCUAUAAAGUAACCACUCUUUAUAACUUCUAGCCAUGUAUAACUUAUAAAAGGACACAUAUUACACGGGUCUUCUACUACAAAGGGAAAUGUAAGCAAAAUUAUCUCAUUUUAUUCUACUCCAGAAAUUGUGUUCUAGGUGUACCGUUCAAGAAAGCUGACGUUAAGUUGAUAAUAAACCUAUGGAAAAAAAUGUAAAUAAAUUUAGCAAAGAUGGUCCUAUGAGAUCGCAGGGAACAGUCAAACAAUAAUGGCGCCUACAGAGCGGAUAAACUGAAUGGACAUGAACGAUUGUUACCAUGUAGUCUUCACUCACUAAAUUUGGUUGAAGUUUAUGCGUCUUGUGUGGCCCUAGAAAUAACUACGUUUUUCGAUAUAAAUAAAGUAGAAGAAGUAAUAAAGUAUUUUAAAUUUUUUUCUGGAUGUACUGAACCCU
Hermetia illucens (black soldier fly) is the source of this 1708-nucleotide long non-coding RNA. RefSeq lists it as uncharacterized. The transcript is spliced from 4 exons. Lineage: Eukaryota; Metazoa; Arthropoda; Insecta; Diptera; Stratiomyidae. The record is from RefSeq and is a predicted model, not a curated record.